UUUUUUCUAAUUUAAAAUUAUAGGAUUCUGUCAUGUGGGAUUUGAUUAUAUUAUCAGGGAAUUCAUGGGUUUGUGAGUAUUCCUAGGAAAUUUUGAUACUUGUGUCUUGGGGUUUGAUAUUUCUGCCUGAAACUUUAUUUUGUUUGGUGGGGCUAAGAAAGCUGAUUGUUUCUGUUAGGUUAGUUUUUUCGAGGUUUGUUUGAUUGGGUUCUAUGUGUCAAAUAUCAUGGGCUUUGAGGUUAAGAAGGCUUUUGAUUCUUUCCUGUCAGAAUUUUCUGAUUAUAUGACAUAGGUUUUGCCUUUUAUGUGCAAUACAAUACCAUAGGUUUUGAGGCCCAGAAAUUUCUUUCUUAUCAUAUAAAUGCUUUGUCCCAAAAGGGAUGCCUUAGCCAUAACUGGAAUAAAUGUAUGUAAACCCGAAAGUCUCUGGUUUGACUCUUAGUUGAGGCAUUUCGCAAUUUACCUAACACCCAAUCAAUGGGGGGGUGUGGGCAUCAGGGGUUUGCCCCUCAGGAUGGUCCCCACUUGCGCAUAACUUGAGGGCGUUCCUUGUAUAAUAAAAUAAAAAUAAAAUAAAGCUUUUAUUUAUGUUAUGGGUUUGAUGUGGUUAUGUGGAAUCUGAAGGGCUUUUGAAGAAAGGGUAAUUCUGUUUCUCAAAAACGAAAAAAGGGAAAAAGAAAAAGAAAAAAAAAAAAAAAUAUAUAUAUAUAUAUAUAUAUAUCUUACUAUCAGGAUCGUCUUCGUAGUUUUGACCAUUAUUGACGUUUUUUCAAAGAUUUAUUUGGUGUGAACCUUUAUGUACUGUUUGUGGAAGCUUAAGUUCUUAUGUGGAAUAGUAGAACUUGAUGUUUGAUUAGUUAUAACUUAUAUGUCGGCAUGGCUUUCAUCUAGCUAGCAUUCAUCUCAUGCACUUGAUCAUGAAGGGAACAGUAUUGAAGGCAUUGCAGAUGCAGAGCAGUAUAACAAAUGAGAAGUCUUGAAUGGCGCGCACUAGAUUCUUUAAGGCUUGCUCCCUAGUAGAGUGCACUAGAAUGGGCUUUCUGGUGGUGGAAAUCAUGAUGACAACAAUAGAUUUGGAUUUUGCAUCGGUAGUUGUGAGUCUCUGCACGGUGGCUAUUUGACUCACCACCAAUCCCCACAUGCCGCCACCGUUCAAUCCUUGCUACUGUCGUUCUCAUCAUCCACUGGACACCUCCACCCUGCAGGCCGCUGCUGCUUGGUUAGAGGGCUAUUGUGAAAACCUGUUGGACUACACAGACCCAUCAGAGUCAAGACACUUUGCUUUGGUGAUCACUUAUAAAAAUAAAAAUAAACCAAUUUUUAGGAAGUGAAGUCCUGAGUUUAUUAACUUUGUGUAAUUGCACUAUUCAUUUGAGCUAAUAGGCAAAACACAUUCCUAUUUUGAGCUUAUUAACUUUUUUCUAUUCUUGUUAUGAAUCUUGCUAUUACAGGUUAUUAUUAUACAUUAUAUUUGAAAAA
This is a long non-coding RNA of Quercus robur (English oak), 1479 nucleotides long. RefSeq lists it as uncharacterized. The transcript has 2 exons. The record is from RefSeq and is a predicted model, not a curated record. Lineage: Eukaryota; Viridiplantae; Streptophyta; Magnoliopsida; Fagales; Fagaceae.